This 356-nucleotide ribosomal RNA is filed under the name uncultured soil bacterium. Its description in RNAcentral is "bacterial SSU rRNA". It matches the Rfam family "Bacterial small subunit ribosomal RNA", at positions 26 to 385 of the family's 1533-position model. The record is from RNAcentral.
AGAUUGAACGCUAGCGGGAUGCUUUACACAUGCAAGUCGAACGGCAGCGCGGACUUCGGUCUGGCGGCGAGUGGCGAACGGGUGAGUAAUAUAUCGGAACGUGCCCAGUAGCGGGGGAUAACUACGCGAAAGCGUGGCUAAUACCGCAUACGCCCUACGGGGGAAAGGGGGGGAUCGCAAGACCUCUCACUAUUGGAGCGGCCGAUAUCAGAUUAGCUAGUUGGUGAGGUAAAGGCUCACCAAGGCGACGAUCUGUAGCUGGUUUGAGAGGACGACCAGCCACACUGGGACUGAGACACGGCCCAGACUCCUACGGGAGCAGCAGUGGGAAUUUUGGACAAGUGGGGGAAACCCUG